CAAGAAACAAGUCUGAGGGCCAAGAAAAGGACCAGUGACAUGAUGUGGAAAGCACACAGAGUUCAGGGACGGCUGCCCUCUGCCCAGCCUCUGCCCAGCCUCUGCCCUUGGUCCCUGUGGCCCUAGGUGAGUCUCUUUGCCUUCCACAGUUUCCUUAUCUGCAAAAGAGAGGAAAGGCAGACACUCCCCAAGGUUGCUGAGAGGAGAAAUGUCGUGAAGGGUAUAAAGCAUCUGCCGCACUGCUAGACCCCUCACUGAUGUCUCAAGAGAUGUGGUCUCUUCCUCUGGUUCUAGAAGGUGCCUGUGGGUGUCGGGUAUCUCCCAGUUCAGCCUGCAGAGCCCAAGACCAGCUCACCUCCUUCCCUCCCUGCCUCGCCCCCAGUCCCAUCUGUGGCUUCCCUCACCACCAAGCUCAGCUCCUUGCCCACAGCUGGCAGAGGCCCCGAGUGGCCAGGUGAGUGUGGUCAGCCACAGACAUGACCACCCCAGAGCCCAGACCAGAGUGGCAGGGCCUGGAUCCACACCGAGGUCCCAGGCCUCCAAGCCCAGGAUGCCUGUCACGAAACAGCAGACCCCUGCAUGACAGGCUCACUGGCUCAUUGCCCACCCAUUAUCCAGCCAACCUCCUUCUGUCCCCAGGUGAAAACAGGGAAACAAAAGGACACGCUGGGUUGGGAGGGGACACAUUCCUCGCUUCCAGAGGAGCUCCAGACCCACAAAAAAUCAAGCUCAGCCUCCAGAGGACAAACCGUUUCAGGAUUACGGGGAGGGGGUACCCUUCCCACCAGAUUAACUUCCCCUCUCCAUUCCUGGUACAGCCAAGUAUCCAGGACCAAGGCAACCCUCAGAUGGACAGGUGGCCCGCCCCAAGGUGUAAGGGUCGGGUAGGUUGGCCGACGGGUAUCUGAUGGAGUUGCCCCUUCUUGCAGCACCCCACUGCCAACACCAAAGACACGGAGCGCUCCCCUGAUACCCACCCAGACAGCACAAGGGCAAGAGCUGGGAGCAGCAGCUGCUGCCCAGGAGGGGCUGUCCCCCAGGCUUUGGCAGGGGUGGGAUCAGAGGAGGAGGCCCCUCCUCGGAGAAGCAGACAAGCCCACUCGACGACCUUCACCCCACCCUCCUGGAUGGCAGAAAGGACCACUCAGCUGUGAAGCUAUUGGAUUCCAAGCAAGGAGAUAUAGGGACUUCACUUCCCCUGCAAGAAGUGGAAGGAGAGAUGAACAAACGUUUCCUGAAAAGAUGACCCCCCAAAGUUUCUCUGUCGGAACACAACAGAAAUAAGCGCCCAGGGUUACUCGCGGGGAGUCCAAUUGUCCAACAAGGGCACCCGACGUUCAGCAAGAGAGUCAAGGGAAAGUGAAGGGUCAGAGGCAAGACCACCUCACCACGUCCCCAGUCCGCACCCCCUAGUAGCAGCGGAAGCCCCACAGUCCGCCCCCACUCCCAGCUCCCACAAUAGGAGGGGGAGGCCAAUACCUACAGUGGUUUGAGCCAUUCCAAAGCGGAGUCCGGAGCGGAGUGGAGUAGGGGCCGGGAGCAGGGAGCCCCUUCUCCGGAAGCAAACAGGCCCGGUUCUGGUUAUAAAAAUCCACCACCAGGAAGGGAUUGGGGGUGGGGGUGAGCCCCCCCACGUCCACACUCUCGUACAUCUUCCCCGCGAAUACAAGAGGUCCGGGCGGGGAAGUCCUGCGCGCCGCCUCCCUCACUCAGUCGGCGGCGCCAUCCAAGAGCUGCUGGGGGCGAGGGGCACGUCCCCCCC
RNAcentral lists this long non-coding RNA (1762 nucleotides) under Ovis aries (sheep). Its description in RNAcentral is "lncRNA (ENSOARG00000026373.1)". The record is from RNAcentral. Lineage: Eukaryota; Metazoa; Chordata; Mammalia; Artiodactyla; Bovidae.